UACGAAGGGGGCUAGCGUUGCUCGGAAUCACUGGGCGUAAAGCGCACGUAGGCGGGUUGUUAAGUCGGGGGUGAAAUCCUGGAGCUCAACUCCAGAACUGCCUUCGAUACUGGCGAGCUUGAGUCCGGGAGAGGUGAGUGGAACUCCGAGUGUAGAGGUGAAAUUCGUAGAUAUUCGGAAGAACACCAGUGGCGAAGGCGGCUCACUGGCCCGGUACUGACGCUGAGGUGCGAAAGCGUGGGGAGCAAACAGG
Molecule: ribosomal RNA, 253 nt
Filed under: uncultured bacterium
Lineage: Bacteria
Description: partial 16S ribosomal RNA
Rfam family: Bacterial small subunit ribosomal RNA
Source: RNAcentral